AUUGAACGCUGGCGGCAGGCCUAACACAUGCAAGUCGAGCGGAUGAAGGGAGCUUGCUCCUGGAUUCCGCGGCGGACGGGUGAGUAAUGCCUAGGAAUCUGCCUGGUCGUGGGGGAUAACGUCCGGAAACGGGCGCUAAUACCGCAUACGUCCUGAGGGAGAAAGGGGGGGAUCUUCGGACCUCACGCUAUCAGAUGAGCCUAGGUCGGAUUAGCUAGUUGGUGGGGUAAAGGCCUACCAAGGCGACGAUCCGUAACUGGUCUGAGAGGAUGAUCAGUCACACUGGAACUGAGACACGGUCCAGACUCCUACGGGAGGCAGCAGUGGGGAAUAUUGGACAAUGGGCGAAAGCCUGAUCCAGCCAUGCCGCGUGUGUGAAGAAGGUCUUCGGAUUGUAAAGCACUUUAAGUUGGGAGGAAGGGCAGUAAGUUAAUACCUUGCUGUUUUGACGUUACCAACAGAAUAAGCACCGGCUAACUUCGUG
This 484-nucleotide ribosomal RNA is filed under the name uncultured bacterium. RNAcentral's name for it is "partial 16S ribosomal RNA". It matches the Rfam family "Bacterial small subunit ribosomal RNA", at positions 30 to 507 of the family's 1533-position model. The record is from RNAcentral.